Long non-coding RNA from Empidonax traillii (willow flycatcher), 822 nucleotides. RefSeq lists it as uncharacterized. The record is from RefSeq and is a predicted model, not a curated record. The transcript is spliced from 3 exons. NCBI's taxonomy places the organism in Eukaryota, Metazoa, Chordata, Aves, Passeriformes, Tyrannidae.
GGAAACGCUGUCACCUCGCAACGCAGUCACGUUAGGAGCUAUUGUUACCAAUCUCUUAAGUACAUCAAACAAAUUCCUGGGCUGGUGGAGCUGGUAUCAAUGAACUGUCUUUCCAGAAGGUGCCUAAAGAUAGGCUGGUGAUACCUGUAGAGAGAUACGUGAUCGUCCGGACGAAUCUCUGAUGUGCUCACUGCGGAGGCUUCACUUUCCUGAAUCGCUUUCACAGUUUUGCCCACUCGAAGUUAAUAUUUUCUUUGCCUCAAAGACUUCCUGCUUCAUUAAUGGCUUGUUAAAUGCCUUAUUAAUUUAUCAAAGAAACUUUGGAUGAAAAGAAACUACUUAAAGAGCCUCAUGUUUUAUGUAACGUCCAUGAAAGUUCUUCAUGGGCUGCUCUUCACUCUGUUGAGGGUUCUUGCCUUGUUUGAACGUGCUCAGCCAUUUUAGAAACAACCUCCCAGGCUUCUUUCUUCGAGUUUGCAGCUGAGAAUGAAAACAAGAGACUCUUCUCUUGGUGGGAACCAACAGAAACACUGGGAUUAGAAACCCAUUUCGUAUUUUCAGCCCUCACCCAGUGCCAGCUGGAAGCCAAAGAACCUGUGAACCAGUGAACAGAGAUCCCAGUGAGCAGCUGGAGUCUCCCUCCUGUCUGGACCCCUGUGACUGUGGCAGCUUGAGCCAAACUCCUUGGAGACCACAGUUUUACAAACUAAAUUAAUCUACAGUUUCUCAUCGGUUGUGCUCAGAGUAGCUCACAAGGGAAGUCAUCUCAGUUCUUGCUGGUAUUGUCUGAGUUACCAAGGUGCUGUUUUCCUCCUCCCUGGC